RNAcentral lists this long non-coding RNA (1286 nucleotides) under Panax ginseng (ginseng). Its description in RNAcentral is "long non-coding RNA (PGIN_LNC011260)". Lineage: Eukaryota; Viridiplantae; Streptophyta; Magnoliopsida; Apiales; Araliaceae. The record is from RNAcentral.
GAAAAGGUAGGAAAUCCUAAAUUCUAGAAAUCCUUCGAUUCGAUGUUAAUUGAUGCAAUUGAUUGUUUAAAGUAGUGUAAUAGAGAGUCUAUUAAUGUUCUGGGUUGUAAAAUCAUGAACCCAUAACAUCAAAGUGCACGAAUUUGAAGAUUUGAGCAAGUUGGAAAAACCGAAUUCUGUUAUUUUUCACCAAAUGUCAGAGGCUAUAACUCUUUGGUCGAUCAUGAGUUUUGUUGUUUAAAAGUUGUUAUAGGUAGCCUAAUAUGUGGUCUUUAAACUCCAAAAGGAAUCAGGUCUAUAUCUAUUGUAGAUCGGGAUUUAUAAGCGGUCAAAGUGGGUUGACCGGCAUUGACCGGCUGUUUUUCAAACCCAGAAAAUAUUCUAAGUGUCCAGAAAAUUUUUUUUUGGCAAAUGUCAGGCCUUAUAUCUCGGUCAUCUUUAAUGUGUUUUGUGUUCUAAAGGUUGAUAUGUGUAGCUUGUUAUGUGGUAUUUAACCUCCAAAAAGAAUCAGGUCCAUAUAUAUUACGGAUUAAGAGUUAUUUAAGGUCAAAGUGGGUUGACCGGCAUUGACCAGAAAAUUCUGGGCAGCCCAGAAUUUUCUAAGUGUUAAUUUUUCUGACAAGGUUUGACCAUACUUUAGAUGCUUGAUUUCUUGUUGUUAUGAUGAUGUUAAGUGUUAGAGUUGUAGUCCUACAUGUUGUCUACACACUGGAAUUGAUAGAUCACAUAAACGUUACACGAUCAUCAAGUUAUAGAGGUCCAAAGUAGGCACCUCGAACUGUUCUUCGUGAAGAACAGCUUUGGUAGCUACUUUGAUGGCUGAUUUAUCCCAGAUCUGAUGUUUGUUUAGAGGUUAUGAUUGUUGGAUCUUGUAGUCUUGUAUUUCCUCUACAAGACCCAAUUUAUAGAUUGUCCAAAUUCGUUAAGAUGAGAGAGUUAUUCACGGUCAAAGUAGGCCACUCGGUUCUGCCUUAUGAAGAUCUGGGUAGGCUCAAGAACACCUAUAGCGACACUUCUGUCACUAUAGGGGCCUUUAGCGACAGUUUUAAUUAUUUUAAUUUCUGAUUUUCCGGAAAUUAAUUUAAAAAUUAGAAAAAUUAGUUUUUAAUUAUUAAAAAUACCAAAUAAAUUAUGAAAAAUUAUUUUAAAGUCUGAAAAAUAGUUUUUAAUUAUUUUGAGUAUAUUUCAUAAAUAUUUAAUAUUUUUGAAAUAUAAAAGGUAUUUAUUUAUUUAAUUAUAAUAUUAAAUAAAUGAUUUAAAAAUAGUUUUAAUUCAUGAAAAAUCAU